This 342-nucleotide ribosomal RNA is filed under the name uncultured Bacillota bacterium. RNAcentral's name for it is "bacterial SSU rRNA". It matches the Rfam family "Bacterial small subunit ribosomal RNA", at positions 28 to 351 of the family's 1533-position model. Lineage: Bacteria; Bacillati; Bacillota. The record is from RNAcentral.
GAUGAACGCUGGCGGCGUGCUUAACACAUGCAAGUCGAACGAAGCUGCUUAACGGAAACCUUCGGGUGGAAGAUAAGUAGACUGAGUGGCGGACGGGUGAGUAACGCGUGGGUAACCUGCCCUACACAGGGGGAUAACAGUUAGAAAUAAUUGCUAAUACCGCAUAAGCGCACAGUGUCGCAUGACACAGUGUGAAAAAGAUUUAUCGGUGUAGGAUGGACCCGCGUCUGAUUAGCUAGUUGGUAAGGUAAAGGCUUACCAAGGCGACGAUCAGUAGCCGGCUUUAGCGAGUGAACGGCCACAUUGGGACUGAGACACGGCCCAAACUCCUACGGGUGGCAG